RNAcentral lists this ribosomal RNA (508 nucleotides) under uncultured bacterium. RNAcentral's name for it is "bacterial SSU rRNA". It matches the Rfam family "Bacterial small subunit ribosomal RNA", at positions 30 to 529 of the family's 1533-position model. The record is from RNAcentral.
AUUGAACGCUGGCGGAAUGCUUUACACAUGCAAGUCGAACGGCAGCACGGGGGCAACCCUGGUGGCGAGUGGCGAACGGGUGAGUAAUACAUCGGAACGUGCCCAGUCGUGGGGGAUAACGUAGCGAAAGCUACGCUAAUACCGCAUACGAUCUACGGAUGAAAGCGGGGGAUCGCAAGACCUCGCGCGAUUGGAGCGGCCGAUGGCAGAUUAGGUAGUUGGUGGGGUAAAGGCUCACCAAGCCUUCGAUCUGUAGCUGGUCUGAGAGGACGACCAGCCACACUGGGACUGAGACACGGCCCAGACUCCUACGGGAGGCAGCAGUGGGGAAUUUUGGACAAUGGGCGAAAGCCUGAUCCAGCCAUUCCGCGUGCAGGAUGAAGGCCCUCGGGUUGUAAACUGCUUUUGUACGGACGAAACGGCCGUUUCUAAUACGGAGGGCUAAUGACGGUACCGUAAGAAUAAGCACCGGCUAACUACGUGCCAGCAGCCGCGGUAAUGUAUCGUA